Long non-coding RNA from Hippocampus comes (tiger tail seahorse), 633 nucleotides. RefSeq lists it as uncharacterized. The record is from RefSeq and is a predicted model, not a curated record. The transcript has 7 exons. NCBI's taxonomy places the organism in Eukaryota, Metazoa, Chordata, Actinopteri, Syngnathiformes, Syngnathidae.
GUAGCUCCUAGGCGACGAGUUUGCGACAUUUGCCUUGAUUGUCACAACUGCUUUUUUUUCGUUAAAAUCAGCCUGAAACGCAACGCUCGAGCUUUUGCUGUAACCACCACAGUGAACCUGGUCACCCGCUGCAUCCUGACAGGCUUGGGCACAGGGCCCAGUAGUAAUGCAGCCAAUAGAAGGUUGAGCAUGGACAGAGAAGCAACGCAAAGUGGUUCCAAGGCCGCGAAAGAUUUGGUGUUGACUUCAGUCGCCAUGGUGACCAGGAAAAUCCAGGCAACAGUCAUGCAUCAAACCAACCUCUCGGCAUGGUGUUUUUCUGUCAGGCUCAGGAGGAGGUGGAGGAGGAGGUUCUUUGAUCACCUGGAAAAGCAGCACAAAUUUGACAUGUUCCCAAGAGGUCCCAGUUCCGGCGAACAAAAAAACGGACCCAGAGCAUGAUGCUACCUACCACCACCACGCUUCAUUGCAGCAACCCACAAGACCUCCUCCUCUGCUGCGUCACCCCCAUGCACAUGGAGCGAAACAGCUGGCCAUUGGAACACACAUCGAACAAAUGACUGAUCUUAUCUUGGAGUUAUUCUGAUGGGAAAGAGGCUUUAUUUCCUUCAUACGAGCAUGGCUUCAUCAAAA